Molecule: non-coding RNA, 469 nt
Filed under: Culex quinquefasciatus (southern house mosquito)
Lineage: Eukaryota; Metazoa; Arthropoda; Insecta; Diptera; Culicidae
Description: Eukaryotic small subunit ribosomal RNA
Rfam family: Eukaryotic small subunit ribosomal RNA
Source: Rfam by way of RNAcentral
GCCUGCGGCUUAAUUUGACUCAACACUGGAAAACUUACCAGGUCCGAACUUAUUGAGGUAAGACAGAUUAAUAGCUCUUUCUCAAAAUUAAGGGUAGUGGUGCAUGGCCGUUCUUAGUUCGUGGAAUGAUUUGUCUGGUUAAUUCCGAUAACGAACGUGACUCAAUCAAAUUAAAUAGAACGCUAUCAGCUUUUCAGUGUCUUGCGAACCUUCGUGGUGAACGGACACUAGAGCUGCGGUAUUUUUUUACUACCUAAGCUCAGAGUUAUUUCAAAACAAAAUUCACAGUCUUUUUAAAGACUACCUGAGUUAUUUUCCAAAAUUCUAAACAGUCUUUUCAAGACUAACCCCACCUGAAAUUUUGUUGUAUUUUACAAACAAAGCCAUCUUUUUAAGAGAACUUUGCUUGCAAAAUGCGUCAAAACAAAGGUAAACGCAAAUCUUCUGAAGAUUUGGUCGUUACGUCGGU